AGUGAACGCUGGCGGUAGGCCUAACACAUGCAAGUCGAACGGCAGCACAGGAGAGCUUGCUCUCUGGGUGGCGAGUGGCGGACGGGUGAGGAAUACAUCGGAAUCUACUCUGUCGUGGGGGAUAACGUAGGGAAACUUACGCUAAUACCGCAUACGGCCUACGGGUGAAAGCAGGGGAUCUUCGGACCUUGCGCGAUUGAAUGAGCCGAUGUCGGAUUAGCUAGUUGGCGGGGUAAAGGCCCACCAAGGCGACGAUCCGUAGCUGGUCUGAGAGGAUGAUCAGCCACACUGGAACUGAGACACGGUCCAGACUCCUACGGGAGGCAGCAGUGGGGAAUAUUGGACAAUGGGCGCAAGCCUGAUCCAGCCAUACCGCGUGGGUGAAGAAGGCCUUCGGGUUGUAAAGCCCUUUUGUUGGGAAAGAAAUCCAGCUGGUUAAUACCCGGUUGGGAUGACGGUACCCAAAGAAUAAGCACCGGCUAACUUCGUGCCAGCAGCCGCGGUAAUACGAAGGGUGCAAGCGUUACUCGGAAUUACUGGGCGUAAAGCGUGCGUAGGUGGUUAUUUAAGUCCGUUGUGAAAGCCCUGGGCUCAACCUGGGAACUGCAGUGGAUACUGGAUGACUAGAAUGUGGUAGAGGGUAGCGGAAUUCCUGGUGUAGCAGUGAAAUGCGUAGAGAUCAGGAGGAACAUCCAUGGCGAAGGCAGCUACCUGGACCAACAUUGACACUGAGGCACGAAAGCGUGGGGAGCAAACAGG
This 759-nucleotide ribosomal RNA is filed under the name uncultured Stenotrophomonas sp. Its description in RNAcentral is "bacterial SSU rRNA". It matches the Rfam family "Bacterial small subunit ribosomal RNA", at positions 28 to 776 of the family's 1533-position model. The record is from RNAcentral. Lineage: Bacteria; Pseudomonadati; Pseudomonadota; Gammaproteobacteria; Lysobacterales; Lysobacteraceae.